RNAcentral lists this long non-coding RNA (564 nucleotides) under Ananas comosus (pineapple). RNAcentral describes it as "long non-coding RNA (ACOM_LNC043321)". Lineage: Eukaryota; Viridiplantae; Streptophyta; Magnoliopsida; Poales; Bromeliaceae. The record is from RNAcentral.
ACCGAGACCGUCUGCGGGACAACUACGUCUGCCCCUAGUGAAGUACUCCAGAGACUCGUGCUUCGGUGGAGCGACCACCGACAAGCAAAACAGACUAGUGAGUAUAAUCCAAUCCUCUCAAGAGGAUACCCUGUCUACUAGGGUCAAUGUGCCUCUGCUGCACAGUCAUGAUAUAUAAUCAAUGUUGGGACUUCUACUAUCCCUAGGCUCAUGUCAAGUUUACUACACUAGACUCGAUGCCACUCGUUCGAUCAUUGUAGUAAGUUUUCUACUAAUUGACAUGCCACUCGUUCAGGUUUAGUGUCUCUACUACACUAGUUCAGUGCCACUCUACUAGGCUAUGUCCAAGUUCUGCUCUUUAUGCCGCUAUAGGAUUCUAUGCCACAAGACCCAAUCCUCAUGCUAUCCUAGUCCACGUGUCAAGCUCACCCCGCUACACUACCAAGAAAGCAUGCAAGGAAAUGGAAAUGUACAACUACUAUUCCUAUAGCACAAUAUGAUCAAUAUAAUUAACUUAGACAUAAAAAGAAACCGGAUGUUUCGGGACGACACCCCCCACCUCUU